This 313-nucleotide ribosomal RNA is filed under the name uncultured methanogenic archaeon. RNAcentral describes it as "bacterial SSU rRNA". It matches the Rfam family "Archaeal small subunit ribosomal RNA", at positions 1032 to 1343 of the family's 1478-position model. Lineage: Archaea; Methanobacteriati; Methanobacteriota. The record is from RNAcentral.
AGUCAGGCAACGAGCGAGACCCCUGCUUCUAGUUGCUACUUCUAUUCUUCGGAGUAGAGGGGCUAAUUAGAAGGACUGCCGCCGCUAAGGCGGAGGAAGGAGGGGGCUACGGCAGGUCAGUAUGCCCCGAAACCCUCGGGCCACACGCGGGCUGCAAUGGUAAGGACAAUAAGUUCCUAGUCCGAAAGGAGGAGGUAAUCUCCAAACCUUACCUCAGUUAUGAUUGAGGGCUGAAACUCGCCCUCAUGAAUAUGGAAUCCCUAGUAAUCGCGUGUCACUAUCGCGCGGUGAAUACGUCCCUGCUCCUUGCACA